This 976-nucleotide long non-coding RNA is filed under the name Nicotiana benthamiana. Its description in RNAcentral is "long non-coding RNA (NBEN_LNC039883)". The record is from RNAcentral. Lineage: Eukaryota; Viridiplantae; Streptophyta; Magnoliopsida; Solanales; Solanaceae.
CCACGUGGGUAUGUCAGGGUUCCCUAAGAGCUUCUUAAGGACUCCGGGCAGUGCUUACACCCAAAUAUAUACCAUAUUAAGCGAAAGUGCAGUGAGGAAGGGCCAUCCCUCAGGUGUCCAAUUUCAUAGGGAACCCAAGGUCCCCAAGACAAGGCUCACAAGAGGGGGGCAUCACUUAGGAACUAAGAGGGGGAGUGCAAGUGCAGAAUUCCAAGAGGGAAAAGGGAAAGGUAAAAAGUACAUAUAGGGAUAUAAGGGAUGGGUAAUUACAAGAGAUAAAUGCAGGCUAAUGGGCAUAACCCAACAAUGAGAGAUGCUGGCACACCCAUAAGCCUACUAGAACAUAUUGUUUAGAGGUUUGGAUCCACUAAGGGAUCAAGUUUAAUCCAUAGACAAUAACUUGCAUAUUGCCAUGUUUUAAACUGUAACUCAGAACACGUAAAGGGAAUAUAGAAGAGGAGUUCAUAACAAUCCCCUAAUAGUUCAAGUUUAAUCCCUAGACAAUAACUUGCAUAUUGACAUGUUUUAAACUAUAACUCAAAACACAUAAAGGGAGUAGGGAAGAGGAGUUCAUAACAGAAACAAACAAACGAAAUCAACAUGCUAGUUUAAGUAUUCAAAUCUGCAGAAGUAGUAGAGAGACAGAGAUGUAAAAAGCUGUAAGUAAACACAUUGUGGUGAUGAUGUUAAUUAGAAUUAGGGCGUACCAGUUUCAAGGAAACAAAUAGGAAAAGCAGUAUUCUUGUGAAAGUUAUAAUGCAGACAAGAAAAGAGAGUUCUCUUAUGUGAGAGUAAUUGUUCAGCAGAAUUGUGAAUUGUAGUAGUGGGGGAUUAUUAAAAUCGUGUGUAGUGUGAAAGAAAAAAGCCAUGUAUUUAUAAUGUGAAAGUCAUGAGAAAAUAAGGUAAGAAAAUAAUUGAAGACUAACUGUAAAUCAAUUACAUAAGACUCCCUUUAAUUAAGGGAUUCAGAUUCAGA